Raphanus sativus (radish) is the source of this 3266-nucleotide RNA transcript. It is a transcript of the gene named CSC1-like protein At4g35870, with no coding region annotated. The transcript is spliced from 3 exons. NCBI's taxonomy places the organism in Eukaryota, Viridiplantae, Streptophyta, Magnoliopsida, Brassicales, Brassicaceae. The record is from RefSeq and is a predicted model, not a curated record.
GAGAUAAGAUUCCAAACCUCGAUCGCGUUCGUUCCCCUUGUUGUUCGUCAUUCUCCAUGAUCUUUGUCGAUCUAGUCCCACAGCUCAAACCCUAAAUCCCCAAUUCUCCUCUCAUUGAAUCUGAAGAAAAAUUGAAGAAGCGUUUGGGUUGCUUAAGAUUCGCGAUUCGCGAUGCAUCGCAGUGUUUCGCCAGCCGCGACGCCGCCGCCGCUCUCCUCCUCCUCUCCUCCACCAUCCUCCGGCGACUUACCCGAGAUCCCGGACGCCUGGUACGGCAACAUCCAGUACCUCCUCAACAUCUCCAUGAUCGGCCUCCUAUGCUGCGUCUCCAUUUUCCUCUUCCUCAAGCUCCGCAGCGACCACCGCCGUAUGCCCGGCCCCUCCGCUCUCCUCUCCAAGCUCCUCGCCGUCUGGUCCGCCACCUGCCGCGAGAUCGCCCGCCACUGCGGCGCCGACGCCGCUCAGUUCCUCCUCAUCGAAGGCGGGAGCUUCGUGCUCCUCUUCUCCGUCGCCGUCCUCGCUCUCUCCGUCAUGCUCCCUCUGAACCUCUACGCGGGAACCGCCCUGCUCAGCGACGAGCUCUCGAAGACGAUGAUCACGCACAUCGAGAAAGGCUCCGCCCUUCUCUGGCUGCAUUUCGUGUUCGUUGUGGUCGUUGUGGUGAUGUCGCAUUUCGGGAUCUCGGCGAUUGAGGCGAGGUUGAAGUUCACUAGGUUUAGAGAUGGGAAUGGGAAUGUGAGUGACCCCAACGCGGAUUCCACGGCUGUGUUCACUGUGAUGGUGCAGGGAUUGCCUAAGAAUCUGGGAUCAGAUAGGGUUGAGUUUGAGGAGUGUUUUAGACAAAAGUACCCCGGGAAAGUUUAUAAGAUUAUCGUCCCUAUGGAUCUCUGUGCGUUGGAUGAUCUCGCUACGGAGCUUGUUCGCGUUAGGGAUGAGAUCACUUGGUUAGUUGCGAAGAUGGACUCUAGGCUGUUACCGGAUGAGUUUGAUAAUAGUGGAGAUGAAGGGGUACUGUCUUGUGUGCUUGCUUUGUGGGGUAAGGUGAAGGUUUUGUGGUCUCGGGUUGUCGAGAGGUUCGGUUUUACGGAUGAUGAGAAGCUGAGGAAGCUGCAAGAGCUGAGAGCUGAUUUGGAGUCUCAGUUAGCGUUUUAUAAAGAAGGAAGGGCGCAAGGCGCUGGAGUUGCGUUUGUGGUGUUUAAAGAUGUUUACACAGCUAAUAAGGCUGUUCAGGAUUUCAGAAACGAGAGGUCGAGGCGGACUGGGAAGUUCUUCUCUGUCACAGAGCUGAGGCUUCAGAGAAACCAGUGGAAAGUCGAGAGAGCGCCCUUGGCGACUGAUAUUUACUGGAAUCAUCUGGGGUUGACGAAGAUCGCACUUAUAGUAAGAAGAGUGAUUGUGAAUACUAUUCUACUGUUGAUUCUCGUGUUUUUCAGCUCCCCAUUGGCCUUGAUCAGUGCGUUGGUAAGUGCCGGGAGAAUCUUUAAUGCUGAAGCGUUGGAUAGUGCUCAGUCUUGGCUCACUUGGGUGCAAACUUCUGGCUGGAUCGGUUCUCUGAUUUUUCAGUUCAUGCCCAACGUGUUCAUAUUCGUUAGCAUGUACAUUAUCAUCCCUUCUGCGCUCUCGUAUCUUUCCAAGUUUGAGCGGCACCUAACUGUCUCGGGGGAACAAAGAGCAGCUCUGUUGAAGAUGGUUUGCUUCUUCCUAGUGAACCUCAUCGUGCUCAAGGCUCUCGUCGAGUCGUCGCUGGAAAGCGCCUUCUUGAAAAUGAGCCGCUGCUAUUUAGAUGGUGAGGAUUGCAAGAGGAUUGAAGAGUACGUGAGCCCUUCCUUCUUAUCAAGGUCAUGCGUCUCUGCUCUAGCGUUCCUCAUCACAAGCACGUUCUUGGGAAUCUCCUUCGAUCUGCUCGCUCCGAUCCCUUGGAUCAAGAAAAAGAUCCAGAAGUUCAGGAAGAACGACAUGCUUCAGCUAGUCCCCGAGCAAAACGAAGAGUACCCUUUGGAAAAUCAAGACCAGAGGAGCAACCUCGAGACGCCGCUUCUCCCUGAAAACAUGUUCGAGUCUCCAAGAUUCGGCGACGUCGAACCUAUGAGCCAAGACCUCGCUGAAUACCCUAUCAGCCGAACCUCGCCGAUCCCAAAGCAGAAGUUCGACUUUGCACAAUACUAUGCCUUCAACCUCACCAUCUUUGCCUUGACAAUGAUAUACUCUUCGUUCGCUCCACUGGUGGUCCCUGUAGGCGCGGUUUACUUUGGUUACAGAUACAUUGUUGACAAAUACAACUUCCUAUACGUGUACAGAGUCCGGGGCUUCCCUGCUGGCAACGAAGGAAAGCUAAUGGACACGGUUUUGUGCAUCAUGCGGUUCUGCAUCGACCUGUACAUCGUCUCCAUGCUGUUCUUCUUCUCUGUCAAAGGAGAUUCGACCAAGCUUCAGGCGAUUUUCACGCUUGGGUUGCUUGUGAUGUACAAGCUUUUGCCUUCGGAUACAGAACGGUUUCACCCGGCUCUUCUCAGGAGUAUUCAGACCGUCGAUAGCAUCGUCGACGGGCCAGUGGAUUACGAAGCUUAUUCUCAACCCAACUUUGACUGGGACACUUACAACAGAUGAUGUUUCUACGACCUUAUGACUUAUUAGUUUUGGUCUUUUGACCAUAUCGAGUUUUAGAGUCCAUUUCUCGAAGUUAAUGGCUCUCUUUGUCGGACGAAGCAGAAAUUAGCACUUGCCUCUACAUGGUGUCUUAAGUCUCUGCUCAGAUUUCUGACUUCGGGAUUCUUAUUGAAGAAGUUAUGCAACUAACAACCAAAGAUAAGAAUCCAGAGCGUGUUAAGGCAUGUGUCACAUUCAGGUCUCUCGUAAACACAGGCUAUGAUACGGAAGAGACAGCGACAACUCUUGCCCGAGCAAACAUAACAAGACAGUAGGGAGUUCCGGCAAUGGCAGUCGGAAAUAAGGACUCAUGACAGUUCCUCAGAGCCACACAAAACAAACCAAACCAAACCAUCUCCAAAGAGUAGCUCUUCAACGAAAGAUGUAAACAGUAGACCAAAGGUCUCUUCUCAAAUAUGUUUAAUAGAGUUGCAGUAAUCUUCUUCGAGUCCAUUCCAAAACCAAACUAUAGAGAACAGUUCAGUCUCUUCAGGCUAUAUUUGUUUUCCACUCAUAUUCACAUAUCAAGUUAACGUUUUGGUAACGUAUUACCUCUUUUUGAUGCAUGUAUAUGCUCAUUAGUCAACCUCGAUAACUGUAUAGAAAUUUAUUAUGGGCCG